Molecule: ribosomal RNA, 743 nt
Filed under: uncultured bacterium
Lineage: Bacteria
Description: bacterial SSU rRNA
Rfam family: Bacterial small subunit ribosomal RNA
Source: RNAcentral
GUCGAACGAAGCUUGACGAAUGAUUUCUUCGGAAUGAAAUCUGAUAUGACUGAGUGGCGGACGGGUGAGUAACGCGUGAGCAACCUGCCCUUCGGAGGGGGAUAGUGUCUGGAAACGGACAGUAAUACCGCAUAACGUAUUUUUACCGCAUGAUAGAAAUACCAAAACUGAGGUGCCGAAGGAUGGGCUCGCGUUGGAUUAGAUAGUUGGUGGGGUAACGGCCUACCAAGUCGACGAUCCAUAGCCGGACUGAGAGGUUGAACGGCCACAUUGGGACUGAGACACGGCCCAGACUCCUACGGGAGGCAGCAGUGGGGAAUAUUGCACAAUGGGGGAAACCCUGAUGCAGCAACGCCGCGUGAAGGAAGACGGUUUUCGGAUUGUAAACUUCUGUUCUUAGUGAAGAAGAAUGACGGUAGCUAAGGAGCAAGCCACGGCUAACUACGUGCCAGCAGCCGCGGUAAUACGUAGGUGGCAAGCGUUGUCCGGAAUUACUGGGUGUAAAGGGAGCGCAGGCGGGAAGCCAAGUCAGCUGUGAAAACUACGGGCUUAACUUGUAGACUGCAGUUGAAACUGGUUUUCUUGAGUGAAGUAGAGGUUGGCGGAAUUCCGAGUGUAGCGGUGAAAUGCGUAGAUAUUCGGAGGAACACCGGUGGCGAAGGCGGCCAACUGGGCUUUAACUGACGCUGAGGCUCGAAAGUGUGGGGAGCAAACAGGAUUAGAUACCCUGGUAGUCCACACUG